RNAcentral lists this unclassified non-coding RNA (2476 nucleotides) under Hevea brasiliensis (rubber tree). Lineage: Eukaryota; Viridiplantae; Streptophyta; Magnoliopsida; Malpighiales; Euphorbiaceae. The record is from RNAcentral.
UUUUUUGAUCACUGGUUGCAUGCAUAGAUUUGAUUUCAAUAUGCAUAGACUGGUACAACGAUAGCAUUUACGUGUUCCAAGCAAUCUGCAGUUCACAUCUAAGUGAGACAUGCACUUUACUUUACAUAUAUGCAAGUAGUUUAUGAGUUUUUAAUUAUAAUCUCUUGACUUUGCUAUUGUUUAGCUUGGUCAUUUCAUUUCUAUGUUCCAUCAUGCUGUGUACACUGUGCUUACUGUCCAUUCAAAGUUCAAACAAGCAAACAUGUUGCAUGACCAAUGCAUUCUUGUCAUUGAUGCAAGCACUAAGAUGCAAUGUGAAUGGCUGGUAAUGAGUAAUGCAUGCAUUUUCUAUAGCUGUGCAAUUGAAAUAGAAGUUGUGGGCUAUUAUAUCCAUUUUCUUGACGCAUACUAAUGUAAGUGUUGCCCAAGAUUCGGAGACUAGAGUGAAAAAUUGGAAGACUGUUGACAUUUCAAAAGUUAAAUAGAAACACAGAGAUGUCUUAAGAUUCAGAGAGUGAAGAAUUGGAAGAUUGUUGACAUUUCAAAAAUUAAAUACAAAUUAGUGCAGAGAUGUAUACACAUGUUAAUUAGAAUGAUGUAUAAUUUUGUAAUCGAUUUGAACUUAAAACCCUAUUAUUUACCUAAUAUUUACUUUUGGGUAUGAUUUUGCCACCUCUUGGGGGAGCCACUUUUUUUAAUCAUAUUCUUAAUUAUUCUGGUUCAAUCUAGUACUAGAAUCUGUCAGGAUAAGGGGAGAUCAAGGUUGAAGCCUGUGGGAGGCUGAUGUAACUUGUCCUAUUCAAAAAGAUACUCCUUCUAUCUACUGCCAAAAUCUGUCAGGAUCAGGAGAGAUCUAUAUUUAGAUAGGGGUCAAGGGUCUCUAGGUCAUUUGUUAAUUCUGUUUCUGAAUAAACUGAUUGAAUUUCAUCCAGUCCACUCAACGCUGUUGAAGCUCGUAGCUGUUUGUAUAAUUUGUACUUGAAUUUAUGAUUAUAGAAAAGAAACUCAUUUCUUAAAAGUCUUUGAAAAAAUAAAAAUUCUAUCCCUCUCAAAUAUGAAAAAUGGAGUAUUUAGGACCCAUGCUUCACUUAUGUUUACCUUGAAAACACUUUGAUGGUAAAUAACAGAACAGAAUACUCAUAUUAAUCUGGUUGUCUUCUUGCCUCGCUGUCUCUUGUUUAUUUUUCUUUCACACUUCCUUUCCAUGUGAAUUAAAAUAUGCUCGGUACAUACUAUGCAUGCAUUAUUUUGUAGGUUGAAUUUGUACACAUGAGUAAUUCAAUUUUUCUUUGUUGUAUAGCCAGCAAGGGUGGCACUAAGCUCAGGAUGUGAGGGGGUAUCUGCCAUUAACACCAUCAUGAGUGUAAUGGGAAUCAAUUUGAAAACCUUACGGCCAGAGCCUUGUGUUGAGGGGUUUGCAUUCUGAAAAGCAAAAAACAGUUCCAAGUUAACAAUUAGUCUCUCAUAAAAUUUAUGUACUUUAAUUUUGCUGACAGAUACUCAACUCCUGGGGGUUAUUCUUCCAAGGCAGUCCAUCCUAUUGCACUUGGAAAAGUGAUGGCCAUUGCCAAGAUGAUGAAGUCAGAAUUUAAUGAGCAGCAGUACUCACUUUCUGGUAUUGGAGGUGUUGAAACAGGUAGUGAUGCUGCUGAGUUUAUUCUUCUUGGAGCAAAUACAGUUCAGGUACAAUGUUUGUGUUGCGUUGUUAUAUCAUUCUGUGACUGUUACUAUCUUAUUUUAUUCAUUUGUAACUUUUAGACAUUGGUUGUCUGUUGAACUGUGCUUAUUUUUAUUUUCCGUUUUUCACUAAUUCUUUCAACACUUUAUUUUUGUUUCUUUUCCACAAUUAAAACAUGGAAUAUCACAAGUAGGUUCUUCAAUGUAUGAAUGAUAAUACCAAUGUUUAUCACAAGCAAAAAAGCAUGAAAAAUCAAUCAUUCAUUCAUUUCCAUUAAUCUGAGUUCUUCUAAAAUGUGGCUCAACUUAUGUUAAUAAGAAACUUUGCAAUAUCCUAACGUUAACAUUGUUUUGGGAGUGGGUGAGGGAUGGGAAAGGAAGGGGUAAAGAAGGAGGUUAACCUUAAGAGCUUGUUUGGUGGGAAUGGAAUGGUAAAUUGUUAAUACUGUCAAAUGCUUACACAGGGAAGAUGAAAUUACUUCCUCUUUCCCUUGUUCCUUCCCAAACAGGAGAAGAUUAAAAAGUAACUUUCCCUUCCCUUCUCCUUCCCUUCUUUACUUUAACAAGUCGGUGGAGUGUCUACGCAUUGAGAAGUGGAUUCAAGUAGUCAGGGAGAGUAAGGGAAGUAAUAAACCUAAAAUGGAGCAAGAUUGAAUGGUAAAAAAUGUUUUAAUACCAAAGCUGAAAUGGAAGACAGUGACCUAAUUAUUUAAUCCCAAUUAGUGUGGAAUUGAAAUUUAGAUUAGUAUCUAUGUCUCUCUCCCUUAUUAUUCUGUUAUUUUAUUUAUUUAUUUAUUUA